UGCAAAACAACGUCAACGACAAUGUCGUGC
RNAcentral lists this non-coding RNA (30 nucleotides) under Bombyx mori (domestic silkworm). Lineage: Eukaryota; Metazoa; Arthropoda; Insecta; Lepidoptera; Bombycidae. The record is from RNAcentral.